GAUGAACGCUGGCGGCGUGCCUAACACAUGCAAGUCGAGCGAACGGACGAGAAGCUUGCUUCUCUGAUGUUAGCGGCGGACGGGUGAGUAACACGUGGAUAACCUACUUAUAUGACUGGGAUAACUUCGGGAAACCGUAGCCAAUACCGGAUAAUAUUUUGAACCGCAUGGUUCAAGAGUGAAAGACGGUUUUGCUGUCACUUAUAGAUGGAUCCGCGCUGCAUUAGCUAGUUGGUAAGGUAACGGCUUACCAAGGCAACGAUGCAUAGCCGACCUGAGAGGGUGGUCGGCCACACUGGGACUGAGGCACGGUCCAGACUCCUACGGGAGGCAGCCGUAGGGAAUCUUCCGCAAUGGGCGAAAUCCUGACGGAGCCACGCCGCGUGAGUGGUGAAGGUCUUCGGAUCGUAAAACUCUGUUAUUAGGGAAAAACAUAUGUGUAAGUAACUGUGCGCAUCUUGACGGUACCUAAUCAGAAAGCCACGGCUAACUACGUG
RNAcentral lists this ribosomal RNA (497 nucleotides) under uncultured bacterium. RNAcentral's name for it is "partial 16S ribosomal RNA". It matches the Rfam family "Bacterial small subunit ribosomal RNA", at positions 28 to 507 of the family's 1533-position model. The record is from RNAcentral.